Molecule: ribosomal RNA, 370 nt
Filed under: uncultured eukaryote
Lineage: Eukaryota
Description: partial 18S ribosomal RNA
Rfam family: Eukaryotic small subunit ribosomal RNA
Source: RNAcentral
CAAUAGCGUAUAUUAAAGUUGUUGCAGUUAAAAAGCUCGUAGUUGGAUUUCUGGUCGGAAGCUCCUGUCCUCUGAUGAGCGUACAAGUGCGUCCUACCAUCCUUCUGUUAACCUUUAAGGCUUUCGCGGCUUUCUAGGGGCUCAGAUAUUUUACCUUGAGAAAAUUAGAGUGUCUCAGGCAGGCUAGCGCCGGAAUACAUUAGCAUGGAAUAAUGGAAUAGGACUUUUGCCUCUUCUGUUGGUCAUGAGGCUCGAGUAAUGAUUAAUAGGGAUAGUUGGGGGCAUUAGUACUUAACUGUCAGAGGUGAAAUUCUCGGAUUUGUUAAAGACUAACUUAUGCGAAANCANNNGCCAAGGAUGUUUUCAUNAA